RNAcentral lists this long non-coding RNA (644 nucleotides) under Sus scrofa (pig). Lineage: Eukaryota; Metazoa; Chordata; Mammalia; Artiodactyla; Suidae. The record is from RNAcentral.
CGCCAUCUUGAAUUGAGUGUCGUGUGCAGCUUGUGCACACGGCCCCCCACGCUGAGGUCCGCGCGCCGCCAUGUUGCACCAGCACCUGUGCUCUGAAGGGACGCGUGUGAGGCCUCUGCACGUGGGAGCCUGUGAGCCAGUGACACCAGACGAAGCACGAAGGAAAAGAACAAGGAAAGAGAUCUCCACGUUAACAGAUUCUUAACUGGCUGGUGUGAAGAGUCAUUCCAAGUGUCACAGUAUUUCCCCCACUCAAACCAGAAGAAGUAGAAAGAAACGGUGGUCUAUUAAUAAAGAAAAGACCUGUAAUUUAAGUACAAGAUAGAGGUGGAAGGAAAUGAGCGUUUCUCUUUUGAAUUAGAUACAGGCCACUGUUCCAGACAAAAAUCAGAAAAUACUUCCUUAUCUUCACCAGCUGAAGAGGCUGAUGCUUCCAGAAAGGACAUAGUCCCCCCACAUGAAACAACCCCCACCUCACCUCCUUUAGUGCGUUCCCUUAACUAAUGAAGCAAAAGGAGAUGAAGAACCCUACAAGGUGGAUGCUUUUAUUAUCUAUUUUCGAGAUGAGGAAAUAAAUUUUAAGAUUUUCGUCUAGGCUGGUGAAGAGCCACAAUUUGAACACGGAAUGUCUGGUUCUAGCAUCC